CUGGGUCACCUCCCACCCGUGUUUAUUUUACCUUGUUGCUUCGGCGGGCCCGCCUUAACUGGCCGCCGGGGGGCUUACGCCCCCGGGCCCGCGCCCGCCGAAGACACCCUCGAACUCUGUCUGAAGAUUGUAGUCUGAGUGAAAAUAUAAAUUAUUUAAAACUUUCAACAACGGAUCUCUUGGUUCCGGCAUCGAUGAAGAACGCAGCGAAAUGCGAUACGUAAUGUGAAUUGCAAAUUCAGUGAAUCAUCGAGUCUUUGAACGCACAUUGCGCCCCCUGGUAUUCCGGGGGGCAUGCCUGUCCGAGCGUCAUUGCUGCCCUCAAGCACGGCUUGUGUGUUGGGCCCCGUCCUCCGAUCCCGGGGGACGGGCCCGAAAGGCAGCGGCGGCACCGCGUCCGGUCCUCGAGCGUAUGGGGCUUUGUCACCCGCUCUGUAGGCCCGGCCGGCGCUUGCCGAUCAACCCAAAUUUUUAUCCAGGUUGACCUCGGAUCAGGUAGGGAUACCCGCUGAACUUAAGCAUAUCAAUAAGCGGAGG
RNAcentral lists this ribosomal RNA (537 nucleotides) under Penicillium chrysogenum. RNAcentral's name for it is "eukaryotic LSU rRNA". The stretch from base 160 to 312 matches the Rfam family "5.8S ribosomal RNA". Lineage: Eukaryota; Fungi; Ascomycota; Eurotiomycetes; Eurotiales; Aspergillaceae. The record is from RNAcentral.